This 314-nucleotide ribosomal RNA is filed under the name Enterococcus casseliflavus. RNAcentral describes it as "bacterial SSU rRNA". It matches the Rfam family "Bacterial small subunit ribosomal RNA", at positions 96 to 404 of the family's 1533-position model. Lineage: Bacteria; Bacillati; Bacillota; Bacilli; Lactobacillales; Enterococcaceae. The record is from RNAcentral.
UGGCGAACGGGUGAGUAACACGUGGGUAACCUGCCCAUCAGAAGGGGAUAACACUUGGAAACAGGUGCUAAUACCGUAUAACACUAUUUUCCGCAUGGAAGAAAGUUGAAAGGCGCUUUUGCGUCACUGAUGGAUGGACCCGCGGUGCAUUAGCUAGUUGGUGAGGUAACGGCUCACCAAGGCAACGAUGCAUAGCCGACCUGAGAGGGUGAUCGGCCACACUGGGACUGAGACACGGCCCAGACUCCUACGGGAGGCAGCAGUAGGGAAUCUUCGGCAAUGGACGAAAGUCUGACCGAGCAAACGCCGCGUGA